CAAUGUGUCUGCAGCGCAACA
Molecule: microRNA, 21 nt
Filed under: Gadus morhua (Atlantic cod)
Lineage: Eukaryota; Metazoa; Chordata; Actinopteri; Gadiformes; Gadidae
Description: gmo-miR-33b-3p
Gene: gmo-miR-33b-3p
Source: miRBase by way of RNAcentral